CAAGUACUCCCUCCGUUCGGAAUUACUUGUCACUUGAAUGAAUGUAUCUAUAUGUAUGUUAAUUCUAGAUACAUUAUUUUUAUUCAUUUCGCGACUAGUAAUUCGGGAAGGAGGGAGUAUACU
Non-coding RNA from Triticum aestivum (bread wheat), 123 nucleotides. The record is from Rfam. NCBI's taxonomy places the organism in Eukaryota, Viridiplantae, Streptophyta, Magnoliopsida, Poales, Poaceae.